This is a long non-coding RNA of Felis catus (domestic cat), 2705 nucleotides long. RefSeq lists it as uncharacterized. The transcript has 2 exons. NCBI's taxonomy places the organism in Eukaryota, Metazoa, Chordata, Mammalia, Carnivora, Felidae. The record is from RefSeq and is a predicted model, not a curated record.
UCUGAUUCAUCAGUGUCUUUCUUUCAUUUCUUGCAGGGCUACUCUGUGGACUGUAUCUAUAAUCCUAUUUGGAAAAAACAUCAAAAGUCUAAAUUUGAGACCUGUUGUAAAAGUGAGACUGGAGCCUGACUGCCUUCCUGCCAGCCGCCCAAUACCCACCUCCAUGAAAGGACCUGGAGGGGAGCCAUCUGGGGCCUGAGAGAGAACACAGUCUGAGAGGCCUGAUCCAACAAUUACAUCUGUAUGGGUGUCUCUAAGCCCCCACUUCCGCCUGACCUCUCUGGUAUCUCCAGUCCCACACUUCCAACUUCCGGAGAGAAAGGUCUGCUUUGCUGCCUCACCCGGGCUGGCCCCCAAGCUCAACGCUCCUAGUUGAGCUCAUCAUUCCACCUUCUGGACCUGAAACCUAGAAUUAUUUUCAACUCCUACCACUCCCUUGGCACAGGUAACCCAUUAGUCACCACGCAUAGUCACCCACUGCUGGUAACGGCUUUCACACUCAUCCCAUUGUAAAUGGCUGUGAGAUUGCCGUGGGUGUCCAGCCUAUCAUACAGAUCAGGCAGAAUGGGACCCCGCCUGGAACAGGCUGGCAUCAGUAUGGCAAUCUGUCACUAACAGCAGAAGCUGUAACAGGAGUCAUGGCCAAUGGGGUAAGACGAAGAGAUGUGGUCAAGGUCAGCGCCAGAUUCCCCAGGCUAAGAGGGGUCAGACAAGCAGGGCAAGUAUAAGAAUUAAAGUCAAGAGCCAGAGCAGACCUGGAAACUGAGCUGGUUUGGGCUCGUAGGACAGAGCAUGGGCACUGUGACUGGAUUCUAGGGACAGAGUUUUUGCUUUGCGGGGGGUGGAGGGGGAAGUGAGUAGGGACCCUUGGAGAGGCCCAGGCCUGUGCUUUCUUAGCUGUGCCAUGGCCAGGUGUCAUGGAGCUGUGUAUCCUUAACAUGUUUCCUCUUCUCCACCCCCCUGCCUCACUCCAGCCCAGAGUGACUCCUUAUUUGCCUUGACUUUGAGAAAGCAUCUCUAUCUGCAACCCUGCAGCCUCUGGAGGGGAGCUACUAAUAUCUAUUGCACACCUGCUAAGGCCUUUUGUGUAUUUUAUCACAUUCAUCCCGACAGCAACACUGGAGAUAGAUGGUGACAUCUGACAUUUGUUCGGUGACUUUGGUUUCUAUUUUAUUUUCACAAGCACUAACUCAUUUGACCACUGGGUAACCCAGUGAAGUGGUCAGAGCCCUAUUCAGCAGAUGAGAAAUCCCUGGGGCCAGAGGGAUUAAAGUGACUUCCAGAAGUCACCCAGGUCCCUAUGACUCCAGGUGUUGCCCAGCAGUAUCUGCUGGAAGUUGUUAGAAACAACAGCAGGAUCUUGGGCUCACCCCAGGCCACCGAACCGGAAUCUGCAUCUGAAUCCUAACCCCGCGGGGGAUCACUGGCAUGGUGAAGUUGGCCUGAGUAGUUGUUCUAGGAGUCUGUACUAGAAAGCAGCCUUACAGGGCUAAGUCAGCUGCGGUCAGCGAUGGUGGACACCAAUACCCCAAGGUUACCUGCAGCUCUUAGAGUCAACACUGACCGCUGGCCAUCGGUGGGGAGUGAAGCUGACAGAGCCAGGGAUCGGAUGGAGAGAGAAGAGAAAGAGAAGUCAAGUCAAGGGGCAUUUGUGAAGCUUCUGCUGGGUGCCUGCUGCUAUGGCUCCAGGCAUACAUAGCAAAGAGGGCGAGGAGCUGAGGGUGUGUUUGGGGAGCAAGACACAGGAGCCAAUGCGGGAGGACUGCGACCCAGCACCUGGAAGCAAGCUGAGUGCUGGAGAAGGUGCUGGUCCAGCGGCAGUGGAGGGCCCUCCUGGGGGCAGCAGAAGGAAGGCGGGAGGAUGCCACUGGGCCGGGGUGUGCUGGGCCCUGCAGACGAGGCAAGUGAGUGCAGGUUCGGUCUGGCAGGCAGUGCCUUCAGAGAGCCUGGGCUAGAGAAUGUCCUGGUGCCUACUUCUCCAGCCUUAGUUUCCCUUACCAGUCUCCUCUUCUCAGGGAAACACCUGUGCUUACAACCCCCUUAAGACGUUGUAGCUUGUAGAACUGCUCCCUGCCAAUUCUCAACAACCAGAACUGAGUCCCUCAGGCCCCUUCCCUGCUUUCUGAGUCUUGAUAAAGCCACCGCUCUUCACCCGGUCACUCCGCCACUCACCUUGGGAGUGAUUUCUGACUCCUCCCCUUCUUGUGACCUUGACAUUUAGUUCAACUGCUUCUGUCUGAAUUAUCUCUGAUGAGAACACAUUUUAUCUCACAAUGUCUCCCUCCUUCUAGUAUCUCCACCCCACACUCAGGAAUUGUUGCAGGCUUCUUUCAUUGGGUCCAAAUUCCGCAGCCUGAGCUGCGGUUCUCAGCUCUCCACACCUUCCUCCCACUUGGCCAUGUCUCUCAGUUUCCUCAGUGCUCCUAUUGAGACAGCCAUCCCCAUGGUUCCUGCCCUCCCCUCCCUCAGAUCCCUCGUGUCCAUUCCUGCUUGUCUGACCCUACCCGGGAAGACUUUGUGUCCAUAUGUCCUCUGUCCAAAGCCUGCUUGUCUUUCUAUGCCCAUUAUAUGCUUUUGUUUCUUUUUUGUUGGGAUUAGAACCAAGGAUUUGUGGCCAGGAUUAUAAUGAUGAUCUCUGUUAUGCACAAUUAUCAUAGAAAAGACUGGAAUUAAACAGCAAUGUAGUAACCAUGGUGGUCUCUGGA